RNAcentral lists this ribosomal RNA (274 nucleotides) under uncultured bacterium. RNAcentral describes it as "partial 16S ribosomal RNA". It matches the Rfam family "Bacterial small subunit ribosomal RNA", at positions 523 to 796 of the family's 1533-position model. The record is from RNAcentral.
AUACGGAGGGUCCGAGCGUUAUCCGGAAUCAUUGGGUUUAAAGGGUCCGUAGGCGGGAAUCUAAGUCAGUGGUGAAAUCUUGCAGCUCAACUGUAAAAUUGCCAUUGAUACUGGAUUUCUUGAAUUAGUGUGAAGUGGUUAGAAUGUGUAGUGUAGCGGUGAAAUGCAUAGAUAUUACACAGAAUACCAAUUGCGAAGGCAGAUCACUAACACUAUAUUGACGCUAAGGGACGAAAGCGUGGGGAGCGAACAGGAUUAGAAACCCAAGUAGUCC